CCUACGGGGGGCUGCAGUAAGGAAUAUUGGUCAAUGCCCGGAAGGGUGAACCAGCCAUCCCGCGUGAAGGAUGAAGGGGCUCUGCCUUGUAAACUUCUUUUGUAUGGGGCGAAAAAAGGGGAUUUAUCCUCGACUGACGGUACCAUAAGAAUAAGCACCGGCUAACUCCGUGCCAGCAGCCGCGGUAAUACGGAGGGUGCAAGCGUUAUCCGGAAUCACUGGGUUUAAAGGGUGCGUAGGCUGUUUAAUAAGUCAGUGGUGAAAGGCCGUCGCUUAACGAUGGGACUGCCAUUGAUACUGUUAGACUUGAAUCAGGUUGAGGUUGGCGGAAUGUGGCAUGUAGCGGUGAAAUGCAUAGAUAUGCCAUGGAAUACCGAUUGCGAAGGCAGCUGACUGGACCUUGAUUGACGCUGAGGCACGAAAGCGUGGGUAGCGAACAGGAUUAGAUACCCCAGUAGUC
RNAcentral lists this ribosomal RNA (460 nucleotides) under uncultured Sphingobacteriales bacterium. RNAcentral describes it as "bacterial SSU rRNA". It matches the Rfam family "Bacterial small subunit ribosomal RNA", at positions 338 to 795 of the family's 1533-position model. The record is from RNAcentral. Lineage: Bacteria; Pseudomonadati; Bacteroidota; Sphingobacteriia; Sphingobacteriales.